UGGUGUAUACUUGAUAGGGAAGCCUAGU
This 28-nucleotide non-coding RNA is filed under the name Mus musculus (house mouse). Lineage: Eukaryota; Metazoa; Chordata; Mammalia; Rodentia; Muridae. The record is from RNAcentral.